CAGAUCAGGGCGGGUGGGAACUGCAAGAUGCUUAACCCUCCCCACACCAGGCUGCAGCUACCAUCAAGGCAACCGUCCCCAGCAGUGGGUGUUUUCUCCAUUCCACUCCCAACCCAGUCCUGGUUUUCUCCUAUGGGAUAGAGCUUCUCUCUCCUUUGCCUCUUCCCCACCCUCUCAGUCUUUGAAUUCUGUCAUCUCUCAACACAAGCCUAUGAACACUUUAGGGAGCUGUUUUUGAUAGAGCCCUGCUUGAACAGGUGAUGUGCUAGAAAGUCACAGAUGGGGAAACAGAGACUCCUUCAGUAUCUAGGUAUCAGGUCUGUUGCUUCUGCUUGCCCCGUGUGUCCAGUGAGAGAGCUCCUGUGUCACUGGCCGCUGGCUUCAUCUGCCUUCCAGACAUCUCACAUGUCUUCCCUGAUGUUUGUUCACACCCACGUAGGCCUAGCUUUGACUGGCAUCAGUCUCUCCUGCGGAGGCUCCAAGCAGACCCCACCCCCUUCUGCGGUCCUGCUUCCAGCUUCGCUCCUUGGACCCGCUGCCGCCAGCUCUCAGCUCUCCAUGAACAGACCUGCUAGGCUAGAUGUGCUUCCCUGGCCAUAAUCCAUCCACCUAGUACCUUCCACCCACUAGCCUACCUGACCCCUGACCCUGGCCCAUUUCUCCAGCUCAAUCUC
Molecule: long non-coding RNA, 674 nt
Filed under: Rattus norvegicus (Norway rat)
Lineage: Eukaryota; Metazoa; Chordata; Mammalia; Rodentia; Muridae
Description: long non-coding RNA NONRATT020443
Source: RNAcentral